UACGUAGGGUGCAAGCGUUAAUCGGAAUUUCUGGGCGUAAAGCGUGCGCAGGCGGUUUUGUAAGUCUGAUGUGAAAUCCCCGGGCUCAACCUGGGAAUUGCAUUGGAGACUGCAAGGCUAGAAUCUGGCAGAGGGGGGUAGAAUUCCACGUGUAGCAGUGAAAUGCGUAGAGAUGUGGAGGAACACCGAUGGCGAAGGCAGCCCCCUGGGUCAAGAUUGACGCUCAUGCACGAAAGCGUGGGGAGCAAACAGG
Molecule: ribosomal RNA, 253 nt
Filed under: uncultured bacterium
Lineage: Bacteria
Description: partial 16S ribosomal RNA
Rfam family: Bacterial small subunit ribosomal RNA
Source: RNAcentral